RNAcentral lists this ribosomal RNA (381 nucleotides) under uncultured eukaryote. Its description in RNAcentral is "SSU rRNA". It matches the Rfam family "Eukaryotic small subunit ribosomal RNA", at positions 587 to 972 of the family's 1831-position model. The record is from RNAcentral.
AGCUCCAAUAGCGUAUAUUAAAGUUGUUGCGGUUAAAAAGCUCGUAGUUGGAUUUCUGCCGAGGACGACCAGUCCGCCCACUGGGUGAGCAUCUGGCUCAGCCUCAGCAUCUUCUUGGAGAACGUAUCUGCACUUCAUUGUGUGGUGCGGUAACCAGGACUUUUACUUUGAGGAAAUUAUAGUGUUUCAAGCAGGCGUGCGCCUUGAAUACAUUAGCAUGGAAUAAUAAGAUAGGACCUUAGUUCUAUUUUGUUGGUUUCUAGAGCUGGGGUAAAGAUUAAUAGGGAUAGUUGGGGGCAUUCGUAUUUAAUUGUCAGAGGUGAAAUUCUGGGAUUUGUUAAAGACGGACUACUGCGAAAGCAUUUGCCAAGGAUGUUUUCA